UACCAUCAGCUUCCACUUCCUUCGGUCC
This 28-nucleotide small RNA is filed under the name Bombyx mori (domestic silkworm). Its description in RNAcentral is "ovarian small RNA-20608". Lineage: Eukaryota; Metazoa; Arthropoda; Insecta; Lepidoptera; Bombycidae. The record is from RNAcentral.